UCCCUGGUGGUCCAGUGGUUAAGACUCUGUGCUGCCAAUGUAGGGAACAUGAGUUCAAUCCUUGUUUGGGGAA
Molecule: transfer RNA, 73 nt
Filed under: Bos taurus (domestic cattle)
Lineage: Eukaryota; Metazoa; Chordata; Mammalia; Artiodactyla; Bovidae
Also listed under: 2 other names
Rfam family: tRNA
About the family: Transfer RNA (tRNA) molecules are approximately 80 nucleotides in length.
Source: Rfam by way of RNAcentral